This is a long non-coding RNA of Osmerus eperlanus (European smelt), 724 nucleotides long. RefSeq lists it as uncharacterized. NCBI's taxonomy places the organism in Eukaryota, Metazoa, Chordata, Actinopteri, Osmeriformes, Osmeridae. The record is from RefSeq and is a predicted model, not a curated record. The transcript has 4 exons.
AAUAGCUGGCCUCUGCACUUCAAAACGCAUGAAUGUGGAGUCACCGCUUUGUCUCUGCGGUCUAAGGGUUCUGGGGCUGUAGAAAAUGGGUUGUUACACUCGUGCCAUCAGCAUCUGGUGAAAUAUUUAAACAACUAAACGUUCAAUAAUUAAACUUUACAAUCACAUUAAUUGCUUGUAGUGAACGUGGCAGGGAUAGGCUACAGGUAUAUCGAUUAUUCAAUUAUGAAGAGUGGGGAGGUGGUAGAUCUGAUGUCCUGUCUCUGAGGAGCUUUGGCUACGGCUCCCAGACGUCCAGACCGUCUGACCACAGCUCAGGGAUUAAACCCCAGACAUCUCCACACACCAGAUUAAACACUGAACCUGCACACAACAGGGAACAACAAGGACCGAUCCCAACUUCUGUGAUGCCUGCCCUGAAUUCACAUCACAACCUUCAGAGACUUCAUACAGGCUCCAGUGCCCCCAUGCAGGUGUGUUCCAGUGCAGGUUGACAGGUCUGGCCUUUCAGAUGGAGGGAGAGGGGGAAGUACUAUACAGAACUGUCCAAAGGAAUGAAGGUCUGCUGCACUCCACAGGCCAGACCCCUGCAGGAUCCCGGUUCAACAUCAGCUGUGCUCAGGGCUCUGUCUGUCAGCUGCACCUCCCACACUGUGAGAUUCUCUCUGGUGAGUUCCACACCUCUCACAACUCAGUAAUACUCGGUUACCCAUGUAGCGGGAUG